RNAcentral lists this ribosomal RNA (72 nucleotides) under Dendrobium officinale. RNAcentral describes it as "partial 26S ribosomal RNA". Lineage: Eukaryota; Viridiplantae; Streptophyta; Magnoliopsida; Asparagales; Orchidaceae. The record is from RNAcentral.
CGACCCCAGGAUGGGCGAGGCCACCUGCUGAGUUUAAGCAUAUCAAUAAGCGGAGGAAAAAAAACCCUACAA